This 465-nucleotide ribosomal RNA is filed under the name uncultured bacterium. RNAcentral's name for it is "partial 16S ribosomal RNA". It matches the Rfam family "Bacterial small subunit ribosomal RNA", at positions 28 to 507 of the family's 1533-position model. The record is from RNAcentral.
GACGAACGCUGGCGGCGUGCUUAACACAUGCAAGUCGAACGGAAAGGCCCCUUUGGGGGUCCUCGAGUGGCGAACGGGUGAGUAACACGUGAGUAACCUGCCCUUGACUUCGGGAUAACUUCAGGAAACUGGGGCUAAUACCGGAUAGGAAUCCUUGCUGCAUGGUGGGGGUUGGAAAGCUUCGGCGGUUUUGGAUGGACUCGCGGCUUAUCAGCUUGUUGGUGGGGUAGUGGCUUACCAAGGCUUUGACGGGUAGCCGGCCCGAGAGGGCGACCGGCCACAUUGGGACUGAGAUACGGCCCAGACUCCUACGGGAGGCAGCAGGGGGGAAUAUUGCACAAUGGGCGGAAGCCUGAUGCAGCAACGCCGCGUGCGGGAUGACGGCCUUCGGGUUGGAAACCGCUUUCAGCAGGGGCGAAGCUUGUGGUGACGGUACCUGCAGAAGAAGCACCGGCUAACUACGUG